CAAUAGCGUAUAUUAAAGUUGUUGCAGUUAAAAAGCUCGUAGUUGGACCUUGGACCUGGACAGGCGGUCCGCCUCACGGCGUGUACUGUCUUGCUGGGUCUUUCCUCUUGGUGAUCUGUUGUUUCGGCAGCAGGGAACCAGGACUUUUACUUUGAAAAAAUUAGAGUGUUCAAAGCAGGCUCGACGCCGGAAUGUAUUAGCAUGGAAUAAUAAAAUAGGACGUGCGGUUCUAUUUUGUUGGUUUUUGGAAUCGCCGUAAUGAUUAAUAGGGACAGUCGGGGGCAUUAGUACUCACAUGCUAGAGGUGAAAUUCUUGGAUUUUGUGAAGACUAACUUCUGCGAAAGCAUUUGCCAAGGAUGUUUUCAUUAA
Molecule: ribosomal RNA, 370 nt
Filed under: uncultured eukaryote
Lineage: Eukaryota
Description: partial 18S ribosomal RNA
Rfam family: Eukaryotic small subunit ribosomal RNA
Source: RNAcentral